This is a long non-coding RNA of Gigantopelta aegis, 1509 nucleotides long. RefSeq lists it as uncharacterized. The record is from RefSeq and is a predicted model, not a curated record. Lineage: Eukaryota; Metazoa; Mollusca; Gastropoda; Neomphalida; Peltospiridae. The transcript is spliced from 4 exons.
GAUGAUGGAUGCCACUUUACAUUUGUACAGUACAGUUUCUCUGUCAGAAUUCCACGUGUAUAACGCGAACAGGGCUUGCCUAAUAGAAGCAACACAAACUAGUUAUUUUCCAGUGAUACACUUGUGCGAAGAUGAAACUAUCAGUGAUGUUACAGGGUUCUAUCUUGAUGCGUUCUUACCUGCCAACACAGCAACCACCUGCAGCUGUUCACUUGAGACAAAAUAUGAAAUUUUGAUUGGUAUUAAUACUAUUAAAUAUCCAGACGACGGCUGUCAAUCAGAAUUCAGUAUACUGGUAGCUGAGUCACAGCGGACACUAAUUCACAACUGCAGUAAUGAAGACCUAUCACCAAUUUUCACCGAAUUAUUAAAUCUGGAGCCAUCCUCAUGAAGCUGAAGACAAUAGCUGGAUGCCAAGACACGACGUACUGCAUGCAAAUAUACAAUGUAGCUACUUCAGUUAGUUUUAGCCUUCAGUGUUACUCGCCAAAUGAGACAUCACCCACCAUCUCAACAAUUAGUUCAUCUUCUGGUUCUGAUACUGACGGAACCACUAGCUUCACUACCAGCUCAACUAUCACUUCAAAUACCAGCACAGCUAGCAGCCCAACUCCAAGAUCAACGUCCAGCUUAAGUAUCAGCUCCAGUUCCCGAUCAGGCAGCUCCACGCGCCCAGAAAGAACAAACUCUGAAUUGGCCUCCUCAUCAGUGUCAGUCUCAACUGUUUCUACAAAGAGACAAACUCGCCAUCAGAUUCCCCUGGUAAUAAUGUUAAUACUUGUAUUUUCAAACAAACGUCCACCUAGGAAUAGUGAAAUUACAAUCCUAACAAUAAAGAAUGCAUUACAAAUGUGACAAAAUAGAUACAAGAAAGUAAAUAUAAACUAUAAAACACAAUUUAAUUUGACUGAUAAUUCCUGAAAUCUGUUCAUGUCAAAACAAAACAAGAAAUGAAGUAUUGUGUUUCUUCUAUCAACACUACGGAAUGCAAUACAACUGCUCUUUAUCGUCCAUUUCGAGUGUUAUACUGGUCGAGCUACAUCGAACUUGUAAAACAUAAUGUAUAUCAUCAACAUGAUUACAGUUUCAUCUUAAGGUAGCAGUUAUUACAACAUUGUAAUCCAAUGAAAUAUAAACAUCAUACCAUAUUAUAAUAUCAGUGAUAAGGGAUGGAGUGUGGCUCUCUUUCACGUGCUUACAAAUCUGUCAGUGCAAUGGUUUUGAGAUGUUGUGAAAACAAAAGCAAAUACUAGGAUUACAUCAUCCAGGCAUAUGUAUUUAAAAAUAUAAAACAACAUUGAAGAUUUUUUGUAAUGGCCUUAUAGGGAUAGUUACAUGAAUAUAACUACAUAUAUACGUAUUUGUAUGAAUAAAUUAUUAGUAUCGUCAUUUUUAUGUAUAUCUCCUUCACACACAUAUUAUUAGUGUUGUUUCUUAGUUGAAGCUGAUGUAGGUGGUGUCAUUGGUGCACUUCUGAUAGUCACGGUGGUUGUUGCUAUGAUCAUCGUU